GACGAUACAAGUGUUUCUGCUCUUCACCAUACAACAUGUUAUCGAUGUUAUUGCAUUAUCAAAAUGGAAAAGGUAAUCUAGCAAAUCAUUUGUACUAGUUCAAACAAUCUGAUGAUGUUGCCUGACGUCUGUUCAUUUUGCCGAUAUGCCGUCUCUUGCUAUCUGUACGUCUGUACGUCUCAUGACGUCCCAUGCUCCUUUCACUCACAGCAAAAGGUUGUUUGUUUGGAACUGGUGGAUGUUACUAAAAAAAGCCAUUGAAGAAAACUCCAUCAGUAAUCAACUUAUUCUUCAUUUUCACCAUUUGGAGAUCAAGCGAAGAAAAUCCCAACUCUUAAGCCGAUUUUUUCCGCAUGCGGAUAUUAAAUGAAUCGACUCACAAUUUCACAUCGAAAGUCACUGCUCCAGUCAAUCUGGAAAAACUGAACAGGUGCGUCUACUUGGAAGUAGGUUACAAGGCUGCUGUGCUGUGCAAUAUAUUGCUGCUGAAGAAAAUGCUAGCCAGUGAGAAGAAUGUUAAUGUUGUUGUCAAAAGAUUGAGGAUCGCCAACACCUAUGUCUAUGGAUUCCAAGUUAAAAAAGAAAAAAACAAAACAAUGAAUCUUCUCUAUAGAAACCUACAAUGUUAGCAACAAGAUUGUUGAACUCUGAACUAUGACUGACAUGGGAGCAAAUACUGGUUCAGUACAAGGCACAUAUUCAUCAAACUGACAACCAGGAAGAAAUUGGCAGUAAUUGGAAACUAUUGCCAUGGAGGACUGUCAAGAUAUAGUACUACUUGAGCUGCCUUAUCAACUUUAAAAAUAUCUGCUUGCACUUUUUGCCAAGACAAAAUUUGAAAAACCCUUUGUCAUGAAAAAAAUACGACCAGAGGCAAGAAAUGUUGAAACAGAUUCCUCGUACGAUACACCAUAAAUGAGCGCCAGCCAAUUAUUGGAAACCAUCGUGAUCGUGGUGUCAGCAAUGGCGGAGGAAUUUAUCUAGCAACUCCGGAAGAAUUACGGAAUCAUCUCCAACUCUUCUAUGGAUUUCUGAAGGAGCUAUGACUCAUGUUCGUUCUGAGGUUCAUUCAUGAGUGCCCUCUUUAACGUGGUCGAAACAACACAGGAUAUUUCAACUUGCGAUUUCAGUGUCUGAAAUUUGAACUGAAAGACGGCCAUCCGUUUCUUGCGCACACGGUUGACAGGUACGAAAGCCUACAGUACAGUGUUAGUUCAAAAUCAUUCUAUUCUACUGUAUGUGCCAUGUGCCAUCACAGUAAUAAAGGAUUCAUCUCUCAUUCCAUCUUCUAUAGAACCUAGGAUAACUGAUCGGUGGUUUCAUAUGUAAGUUCAAUUGUCAUGUCACUGAACCAAAUCGUCCAAUUAUAUCGCCAAUCUGCAGAAGUGACCAUGUUACCAACUCAUAUUUUUAUCCCACUCCCAGUGAGUCGUCUGACCAUGUGUCCUGAAAGUGCUGGCCGUAUGCAGAAAUGCCGUCUCGUACUAGAAAGUAGAAACUUGAAUGGAAUGUGCAUCAUAUCUUGCCGAGUGGGUGUCUGAGAACGGAUAUGAUUGCUACUGCGGGGUCUGAAAGCUUACAUUAUAUACAUUUCAAUUCUAUGUGUUGUGGAUUUCUCUACAUUUUCUGAAGACUUUCACUGCAUGUUGGGAUGUUUUGUUAUUUGGAGAAGUACUUUUACUUUGAAGUAGAUUAAUUCAGGCUGUUGAAUGAUGGUGUUUGCUGCUCAAUGUGAAGAUGGUGAAAGGAGUGCUUGACUGGGAAUAAGCUGCGAUUGUCUCUGGUGUUGGUGAAUCUGCAUUCACUUUGCUUACAGUCUUCAGCUUUGUUGAACAUUAGCAUGGCUUGCUUUUCUUUCCUUCCGAGACGUUGUUGGAUAACGUUUACCUCAGUCAUUAUAACAUUAACAGUUCCUUCAAUUUACAUUUGGCAAUUCAAUCUGAUCAUGCGACCUGCCUUCCUAAAAUGUCGUGUCUUGCUGUAUGUUGCAUGUUUCGUCAAGAAGAUGAGUUAUUUUCUCACCAUUCGUUUAAGCUGAACCGAUAGUGAAGGUAAACCAAUUUAAAGUAACAGGUGAUUUCUUUUUCUCCACAGGUCGCUGCCGUGCCAUGAAGAUGGUCUUUGUGAGGGUCUACUAUGUUGCAAGACAAAUGUGUUGAACGGAGGGAAUCUGUUGAGUUUAGAGAUGCGUUUGACUUUUGCAGACAUCCACUCGCCGGGCCUGGGCCUGAACGUCCUACAUCCCUGGCUGAAGAGGGGUAGUAUUACUUGCAAUGUAACAGCAACAAAGACAUCUUGAAAAGAACUUGGCGAUAGUAUUAAGUGUCAAUAUGCUGCAUUCAUUUCAUGAAGCCGAUGUUAUCCAGAAGUGUUGCAGGGACACUUGAAGUUAGAUGCAAGAAAACCUCUAGAAAUGGAGUUGGUGGAAAUGAAAAGAGGUUUUGUUGCUGCCUGUUCAAACUUUUAUGCUGUAUCUGCUGAAAUCCUUGAAGUAGCUGAUGCUGAUAUUAUUCUACAUUUGGAUUCCCAGUGCAAUUUUGGUUUUCUACUAAAAUAUUUUGUUUUAUUUGUUUUCUUCUGUAUAGUAUAUAAUUUAAACCAUUUGAUAUUUUGGUUUUCAAUGUAGUAUGUUGCAGCUUAAGUUCAUUGUGCGGUUGUCUUCGUUGUCUUAAAGCAAUGUUUCAUUUACUUCAUACUUGAAACCUAAACCUGAAAUCACUUGUUUAAUUUUGUAUACUUAAUUGCUGUUUCAUUAAAUCAUGUAUGAAUUCAUUAAACAUACGUUCAAAUUCGAAA
Long non-coding RNA from Daphnia pulicaria, 2796 nucleotides. RefSeq lists it as uncharacterized. The transcript is spliced from 20 exons. Lineage: Eukaryota; Metazoa; Arthropoda; Branchiopoda; Diplostraca; Daphniidae. The record is from RefSeq and is a predicted model, not a curated record.